GCGCCCCAACAUUGUAUUUCUUGACUUUGAGGCAAAGAAGCAGACGUAGGCAGGUCGCUCAAGCCCCCCAGGGACACGCCGCCGGUGAGAGCCUCAGCUCCGAGCUGCCCGCAGGAUAUCCGUAGCUGUCAGAACUCCUCCUCUGCCCCCUUUCUAGAAGAAUUGAUGUAUGACGUCAUGUUAGAUUCAGGGGUGCGACACAGCGAUUGGGAAAUCGCGUCCGUUUCCCAGUGCACACCAGGCAAGCGUGGUCACCCGUCGUCACCACGAGCGCAUGGCUUCCCCGUCCUUCCUUUCCGCACAGAAGGCCACCAAUUUCCCGGCAGAGCGGGCUCUGUUUCUCAUUGGCUGGUGGACUCGGAGAAGGCGGGACUCUUCACACAGGCUCUUCUACCUUUCCUGCCUUUCCUAAGAGAGGCCAAGGAUCAAUAUGUAACCAGUCCUGUGUCAUCUCUGUCCCCACGCUUUGUCUCCUCUCCCCAAGCACGGAUUGUUAAGCGACUCCAGCCGUUCGUGUCUUCUGUAAAUAUGACUGUUCUCAAGUAUACCAGAUACAUUCCUGAAAAUACCUUUCUUGGGGUGGAAAGAUUCCUGCCAGUAUACAUUUCCACGUCCCUGAGUCUCCCCUUCCCUGCUUUUCAGCCCCCCUGUCUAUCUCCUCCCUCACCCCUCACCCUUCACCCUCACCUCUCUGUCCUCAGCGUCCCCCUAACCUGACCAGCGGUCUCUCCUUCCGGGGGUGGGCAGUCCAGGCUGACUCUCCCCCCCCCCCCCGACCGUUUCCUCCAUCUGAAGCAGUGGGGAGCUGGACAACACAUCUAGAAUGUUCUGCGGUCAAGUGGGGAGCAAGUUCAACACACCUAGAAUGUUCCGCGGUCAAGUACAGAAGAGUUAGCCUACACUUGACAGAAAUCUUCAAAAUCUUAAAAAAGAAAAUCCCACCUGUUAUGAAUCACUAUAAAGCUGUAAGUCAUUAGAAUCAAUGACUCUGUUGAUUGACUCGCCUUUGAUGUAUGGACUCAGAGCUGUGUGACCGAGGAUGUGUCAUUUCACCCCCCUGCACCUCAGUUUCCUCUUCUGUAAAGGGGGGAGGUUGGACCACAACAGUGGUUUUCAAACUGUUUUUGGAAGCAGCGUUUUCUUUUCCCCCAACCAAAGCCUCGGUGGACCCCAACAGUCAGAAGCGAGACUG
Molecule: long non-coding RNA, 1192 nt
Filed under: Felis catus (domestic cat)
Lineage: Eukaryota; Metazoa; Chordata; Mammalia; Carnivora; Felidae
Description: lncRNA (ENSFCAG00000053755.1)
Source: RNAcentral